RNAcentral lists this ribosomal RNA (517 nucleotides) under uncultured bacterium. RNAcentral describes it as "partial 16S ribosomal RNA". It matches the Rfam family "Bacterial small subunit ribosomal RNA", at positions 29 to 523 of the family's 1533-position model. The record is from RNAcentral.
AACGAACGCUGGCGGCGUGGAUAAGACAUGCAAGUCGGACGAGAUUUUUCGUUGUAGCAAUACGAUGGAAAAUUUAGUGGCGAACGGGUGCUUAACACGUGGGCAACCUGCCAGGAAGUGGGGGACAGCUCGCCGAAAGGCGGAUUAAUACCGCAUGUGAUUAGAGAGGACAUCCUUUCGAAAUUAAAGUCGGGGCAACCUGACGCUUCUUGUGGGGCCCGCGGCCUAUCAGCUAGUUGGUGAGGUAACGGCUCACCAAGGCUUUGACGGGUAGCUGGUCUGGGAGGACGACCAGCCACACUGGGACUGAGACACGGCCCAGACAGCUACGGGUGGCAGCAGUCGAGAAUUUUUGACAAUGGGGGAAACCCUGAUCGAGCGACGCCGCGUGGAGGAUGAAGGUCUUCGGAUUGUAAACUCCUGUCAUUGGGGAACAAUGCACAGAUAUUAACUGUAUUUGUGUUGAUAGUACCCGAAGAGGAAGAGACGGCUAACUCUGUGCCAGCCGCCGCGGUAA